This 484-nucleotide ribosomal RNA is filed under the name uncultured bacterium. RNAcentral's name for it is "partial 16S ribosomal RNA". It matches the Rfam family "Bacterial small subunit ribosomal RNA", at positions 30 to 507 of the family's 1533-position model. The record is from RNAcentral.
AUUGAACGCUGGCGGCAGGCCUAACACAUGCAAGUCGAGCGGAUGAAGGGAGCUUGCUCCUGGAUUCAGCUGCGGACGGGUGAGUAAUGCCUAGGAAUCUGCCUGGUAGUUGGGGAUAACGUCCGGAAACGGGCGCUAAUACCGCAUACGUCCUGAGGGAGAAAGUGGGGGAUCUUCGGACCUCACGCUAUCAGAUGAGCCUAGGUCGUAUUAGCUAGUUGGUGGGGUAAAGGCCUACCAAGGCGACGAUCCGUAACUGGUCUGAGAGGAUGAUCAGUCACACUGGAACUGAGACACGGUCCAGACUCCUACGGGAGGCAGCAGUGGGGAAUAUUGGACAAAGGGCGAAAGCCUGAUCCAGCCAUGCCGCGUGUGUGAAGAAGGUCUUCGGAUUGUAAAGCACUUUAAGUUGGGAGGAAGGGCAGUAAGUUAAUACCUUGCUGUUUUGACGUUACCAACAGAAUAAGCACCGGCUAACUUCGUG